Molecule: ribosomal RNA, 2925 nt
Filed under: Escherichia coli
Lineage: Bacteria; Pseudomonadati; Pseudomonadota; Gammaproteobacteria; Enterobacterales; Enterobacteriaceae
Description: 23S ribosomal RNA
Rfam family: Bacterial large subunit ribosomal RNA
Source: RNAcentral
GGGUUGUGAGGUUAAGCGACUAAGCGUACACGGUGGAUGCCCUGGCAGUCAGAGGCGAUGAAGGACGUGCUAAUCUGCGAUAAGCGUCGGUGAGGUGAUAUGAACCGUUAUAACCGGCGAUUUCCGAAUGGGGAAACCCAGUGUGUUUCGACACACUAUCAUUAACUGAAUCCAUAGGUUAAUGAGGCGAACCGGGGGAACUGAAACAUCUAAGUACCCCGAGGAAAAGAAAUCAACCGAGAUUCCCCCAGUAGCGGCGAGCGAACGGGGAGGAGCCCAGAGCCUGAAUCAGUGUGUGUGUUAGUGGAAGCGUCUGGAAAGGCGUGCGAUACAGGGUGACAGCCCCGUACACAAAAAUGCACAUAUUGUGAGCUCGAUGAGUAGGGCGGGACACGUGGUAUCCUGUCUGAAUAUGGGGGGACCAUCCUCCAAGGCUAAAUACUCCUGACUGACCGAUAGUGAACCAGUACCGUGAGGGAAAGGCGAAAAGAACCCCGGCGAGGGGAGUGAAAAAGAACCUGAAACCGUGUACGUACAAGCAGUGGGAGCCUCUUAAUGGGGUGACUGCGUACCUUUUGUAUAAUGGGUCAGCGACUUAUAUUCUGUAGCAAGGUUAACCGAAUAGGGGAGCCGAAGGGAAACCGAGUCUUAACUGGGCGUUAAGUUGCAGGGUAUAGACCCGAAACCCGGUGAUCUAGCCAUGGGCAGGUUGAAGGUUGGGUAACACUAACUGGAGGACCGAACCGACUAAUGUUGAAAAAUUAGCGGAUGACUUGUGGCUGGGGGUGAAAGGCCAAUCAAACCGGGAGAUAGCUGGUUCUCCCCGAAAGCUAUUUAGGUAGCGCCUCGUGAAUUCAUCUCCGGGGGUAGAGCACUGUUUCGGCAAGGGGGUCAUCCCGACUUACCAACCCGAUGCAAACUGCGAAUACCGGAGAAUGUUAUCACGGGAGACACACGGCGGGUGCUAACGUCCGUCGUGAAGAGGGAAACAACCCAGACCGCCAGCUAAGGUCCCAAAGUCAUGGUUAAGUGGGAAACGAUGUGGGAAGGCCCAGACAGCCAGGAUGUUGGCUUAGAAGCAGCCAUCAUUUAAAGAAAGCGUAAUAGCUCACUGGUCGAGUCGGCCUGCGCGGAAGAUGUAACGGGGCUAAACCAUGCACCGAAGCUGCGGCAGCGACACUAUGUGUUGUUGGGUAGGGGAGCGUUCUGUAAGCCUGUGAAGGUGGCCUGUGAGGGUUGCUGGAGGUAUCAGAAGUGCGAAUGCUGACAUAAGUAACGAUAAAGCGGGUGAAAAGCCCGCUCGCCGGAAGACCAAGGGUUCCUGUCCAACGUUAAUCGGGGCAGGGUGAGUCGACCCCUAAGGCGAGGCCGAAAGGCGUAGUCGAUGGGAAACAGGUUAAUAUUCCUGUACUUGGUGUUACUGCGAAGGGGGGACGGAGAAGGCUAUGUUGGCCGGGCGACGGUUGUCCCGGUUUAAGCGUGUAGGCUGGUUUUCCAGGCAAAUCCGGAAAACCAAGGCUGAGGCGUGAUGACGAGGCACUACGGUGCUGAAGYGACAAAUGCCCUGCUUCCAGGAAAAGCCYCUAAGCAUCAGGUAACAUCAAAUCGUACCCMAAACCGACACAGGUGGUCAGGUAGAGAAUACCAAGGCGCUUGAGAGAACUCGGGUGAAGGAACUAGGCAAAAUGGUGCCGUAACUUCGGGAGAAGGCACGCUGAUAUGUAGGUGAAGCGACUUGCUCGUGGAGCUGAAAUCAGUCGAAGAUACCAGCUGGCUGCAACUGUUUAUUAAAAACACAGCACUGUGCAAACACGAAAGUGGACGUAUACGGUGUGACGCCUGCCCGGUGCCGGAAGGUUAAUUGAUGGGGUUAGCGGUAACGCGAAGCUCUUGAUCGAAGCCCCGGUAAACGGCGGCCGUAACUAUAACGGUCCUAAGGUAGCGAAAUUCCUUGUCGGGUAAGUUCCGACCUGCACGAAUGGCGUAAUGAUGGCCAGGCUGUCUCCACCCGAGACUCAGUGAAAUUGAACUCGCUGUGAAGAUGCAGUGUACCCGCGGCAAGACGGAAAGACCCCGUGAACCUUUACUAUAGCUUGACACUGAACAUUGAGCCUUGAUGUGUAGGAUAGGUGGGAGGCUUUGAAGUGUGGACGCCAGUCUGCAUGGAGCCGACCUUGAAAUACCACCCUUUAAUGUUUGAUGUUCUAACGUUGGCCCGUAAUCCGGGUUGCGGACAGUGUCUGGUGGGUAGUUUGACUGGGGCGGUCUCCUCCUAAAGAGUAACGGAGGAGCACGAAGGUUGGCUAAUCCUGGUCGGACAUCAGGAGGUUAGUGCAAUGGCAUAAGCCAGCUUGACUGCGAGCGUGACGGCGCGAGCAGGUGCGAAAGCAGGUCAUAGUGAUCCGGUGGUUCUGAAUGGAAGGGCCAUCGCUCAACGGAUAAAAGGUACUCCGGGGAUAACAGGCUGAUACCGCCCAAGAGUUCAUAUCGACGGCGGUGUUUGGCACCUCGAUGUCGGCUCAUCACAUCCUGGGGCUGAAGUAGGUCCCAAGGGUAUGGCUGUUCGCCAUUUAAAGUGGUACGCGAGCUGGGUUUAGAACGUCGUGAGACAGUUCGGUCCCUAUCUGCCGUGGGCGCUGGAGAACUGAGGGGGGCUGCUCCUAGUACGAGAGGACCGGAGUGGACGCAUCACUGGUGUUCGGGUUGUCAUGCCAAUGGCACUGCCCGGUAGCUAAAUGCGGAAGAGAUAAGUGCUGAAAGCAUCUAAGCACGAAACUUGCCCCGAGAUGAGUUCUCCCUGACUCCUUGAGRGUCCUGAAGGAACGUUGAAGACGACGACGUUGAUAGGCCGGGUGUGUAAGCGCAGCGAUGCGUUGAGCUAACCGGUACUAAUGAACCGUGAGGCUUAACCUUACAACGCCGAAG